RNAcentral lists this ribosomal RNA (253 nucleotides) under uncultured bacterium. Its description in RNAcentral is "partial 16S ribosomal RNA". It matches the Rfam family "Bacterial small subunit ribosomal RNA", at positions 524 to 776 of the family's 1533-position model. The record is from RNAcentral.
UACGUAGGGUGCAAGUGUUGUCCGGAAUUAUUGGGCGUAAAGAGCUCGUAGGCGGUUUGUCGCGUCGAAUGUGAAAACCCGGGGCUCAACCCCGGGCCUGCAUUCGAUACGGGCAGACUAGAGUUCGGUAGGGGAGUCUGGAAUUCCUGGUGUAGCGGUGAAAUGCGCAGAUAUCAGGAGGAACACCGGUGGCGAAGGCGGGACUCUGGGCCGAUACUGACGCUGAGGAGCGAAAGCGUGGGGAGCAAACAGG